UGGGGAAUUUUGGACAAUGGGGGCAACCCUGAUCCAGCAAUGCCGCGUGAGUGAAGAAGGCCUUCGGGUUGUAAAGCUCUUUUGUCAGGGAAGAAACGGUAGUAGCGAAUAACUAUUACUAAUGACGGUACCUGAAGAAUAAGCACCGGCUAACUACGUGCCAGCAGCCGCGGUAAUACGUAGGGUGCAAGCGUUAAUCGGAAUUACUGGGCGUAAAGCGUGCGCAGGCGGUUGUGUAAGUCAGAUGUGAAAUCCCCGGGCUCAACCUGGGAAUUGCAUUUGAGACUGCACGGCUAGAGUGUGUCAGAGGGGGGUAGAAUUCCACGUGUAGCAGUGAAAUGCGUAGAUAUGUGGAGGAAUACCGAUGGCGAAGGCAGCCCCCUGGGAUAACACUGACGCUCAUGCACGAAAGCGUGGGGAGCAAACAGGAUUAGAUACCCUCGUAGUCCCUGAGCGGGCUGGCAAGGCGCAU
This 472-nucleotide ribosomal RNA is filed under the name uncultured bacterium. Its description in RNAcentral is "bacterial SSU rRNA". It matches the Rfam family "Bacterial small subunit ribosomal RNA", at positions 355 to 825 of the family's 1533-position model. The record is from RNAcentral.